Molecule: non-coding RNA, 767 nt
Organism: Arachis ipaensis
Lineage: Eukaryota; Viridiplantae; Streptophyta; Magnoliopsida; Fabales; Fabaceae
Source: RefSeq, a predicted model, not a curated record
UCCUAAUUUUGAUAUUCAAAAAAUUUAGUUUUGCGUCUUUUCUAUAUCCGCGUCGUACAACCCUAAGCUACAAACCACUCACUAUAAGUGCUUCCGUCCUCUGUCUCCUACUCCUCCUCCCAUAGGUCGUGCCUUUAACGUAUGCCUCUUCUCGCUCAUUGCGCCGUCGUCGUGUCUCCGGUGCGCAACCCUUGUUGCGCGAAUCGGCUUCCUCUCUGACCUUACUGUCGUGUGCAGCCGCCUUUCUCGUCGUGCGUCCUCCCUCGUUGCACUGACCGGAUCGGUUGAUUCGACUGAGUUAACCGAAAAUCGGUCCUCUAGCGUUUAAAACUGUCCUGCAAAAAAUUGGUGAUAAAGCCGGACGAAUCGACAGUUAACCGAUGAACUGAUGGAACUGGCCCGGUUUUUUUUGGGUUACUGGUUUAUAUAUAUAUAUAUAUAAAACCCACAAAACCCACCCCCACCCCUUUCUCUCUCUGACUUUGAGGACCCAACCCUAAUCCCUUUUCUCAUCCGCCGCCUUCUUUGCCAAACUCACGUCCACCGCUGUCUCACUGACGCCUUCGAAUAUUUUCCAGUCGUCGUCCCCACUGCUCAAGCUCGUCUCCUCUGUCUCGGCUGUUGUCUUCUCGACGUUGCUAGAAGUCGUGGACGGAGCUGUUGGUGUCGUAGUCUCCGUCGUUGUCGGCCCUGAAAUCGCCGUCUCUGUCCUAGCGUCAAGCCUCUAUCUUCGAGUCCCUUCUCUCCCUCUCUCUAUCUCUCUCUCU